Molecule: ribosomal RNA, 330 nt
Filed under: uncultured eukaryote
Lineage: Eukaryota
Description: partial 18S ribosomal RNA
Rfam family: Eukaryotic small subunit ribosomal RNA
Source: RNAcentral
CCCUUAGAUGUUCUGGGCCGCACGCGCGCUACACUGAUGAAUUCAACGAGCUCCUAACCUAGGCCGAAGGGUCCGGGUAAUCUUUGAAAUUUCAUCGUGAUGGGGAUAGAUUAUUGCAAUUAUUAAUCUUCAACGAGGAAUUCCUAGUAAGUGCGAGUCAUCAGCUCGCGUUGAUUACGUCCCUGCCCUUUGUACACACCGCCCGUCGCUCCUACCGAUUGAAUGGUCCGGUGAAAUGUUCGGACCGCGACAAGGCGGACGGUUCGCUGUCAGCUUUGCUGCGGGAAGUUCAUUAAACCUUAUCAUUUAGAGGAAGGAGAAGUCGUAACA